UCACCGCUUGCGCGGGCAGUUUCUCCAGAGUCCCCGACAUUACUCGCUGGCAACUGGAGAUAGGGGUUGCGCUCGUUGCAGGACUUAACCUAACACCUCACGGCACGAGCUGACGACAGCCAUGCAGCACCUAGUUUUGGGUCCUUGCGGACUGAUCCCUUUCAGGAUCAUUCCCUAACUUUCAAGCCCAGGUAAGGUUCCUCGCGUACCAUCGAAUUAAACCACAUGCUCCUCCGCUUGUGCGGGCCCCCGUCAAUUCCUUUGAGUUUCAUCCUUGCGGACGUACUCCCCAGGUGGAUAACUUAACGUUUUCACUAAGCCGCUGACUGUGUAUCGCCAACAGCGAGUUAUCAUCGUUUAAGGCGUGGACUAC
RNAcentral lists this unclassified non-coding RNA (373 nucleotides) under uncultured Sphingobacteriales bacterium. Its description in RNAcentral is "contains 16S-23S intergenic spacer region". The record is from RNAcentral. Lineage: Bacteria; Pseudomonadati; Bacteroidota; Sphingobacteriia; Sphingobacteriales.